Molecule: ribosomal RNA, 505 nt
Filed under: uncultured bacterium
Lineage: Bacteria
Description: bacterial SSU rRNA
Rfam family: Bacterial small subunit ribosomal RNA
Source: RNAcentral
AGAGUUUGAUCAUGGCUCAGAUUGAACGCUGGCGGCAUGCCUUACACAUGCAAGUCGAACGGCAGCACGGGGGGCAACCCUGGUGGCGAGUGGCGAACGGGUGAGUAAUACAUCGGAAUGUACCCAGUAGUGGGGGAUAACUAGUCGAAAGAUUAGCUAAUACCGCAUACGCACUAUGGUGGAAAGCGGGGGAUCGCAAGACCUCGCGCUAUUGGAGCAGCCGAUGUCCGAUUAGGUAGUUGGUGGGGUAAAAGCCUACCAAGCCUGCGAUCGGUAACUGGUCUGAGAGGACGACCAGUCACACUGGGACUGAGACACGGCCCAGACUCCUACGGGAGGCAGCAGUGGGGAAUUUUGGACAAUGGGGGAAACCCUGAUCCAGCAAUGCCGCGUGUGUGACGAAGGCCUUCGGGUUGUAAAGCACUUUUGGCGGGAACGAAACGGCGCUUUCUAAUACAGAGUGCUAAUGACGGUACCCGCAGAAUAAGCACCGGCUAACUACGUG